This 245-nucleotide long non-coding RNA is filed under the name Lathyrus oleraceus (garden pea). RNAcentral's name for it is "Pisum sativum (pea) long non-coding RNA (PSAT_LNC011722)". Lineage: Eukaryota; Viridiplantae; Streptophyta; Magnoliopsida; Fabales; Fabaceae. The record is from RNAcentral.
UGUUCGCGAAAGCCUGAAGGAUCUGAGGACUAACGUCGAAGAUCUUGACACUGUCGAUGAUUGUGUUUGUUUUUAAGAAAUUUGCUACGGUUGCUGGAGGUGGGAGAUUGUCUCCGAGGGUGCCGUAGUUGACGCCGAUGGAGGUGACGGUGGCGACGAGGUGGAAAAGGAGGAGGAGGAGGAGGAGAGGGGAAGGUGAAAGGGUGGAGGUGGCCAUUGGUUUUCGUGACAUUGUGUUAGAAAGG